RNAcentral lists this ribosomal RNA (234 nucleotides) under uncultured bacterium. RNAcentral's name for it is "partial 16S ribosomal RNA". It matches the Rfam family "Bacterial small subunit ribosomal RNA", at positions 118 to 351 of the family's 1533-position model. The record is from RNAcentral.
UGAGCAAUCUGCCCUUCUCAUCGGAAUAAGCGUUGGAAACGACGUCUAAUGCCGAAUACGACCUCCUUUCGCAUGAUCGGAGGUGGAAAGCUCCGGCGGAGAAGGAUGAGCUCGCGGCCUAUCAGCUAGUUGGUGUGGGUAAUGGCCCACCAAGGCGACGACGGGUAGCCGGCCUGAGAGGGUGACCGGCCACACUGGGACCGAGACACGGCCCAGACUCCGUACGGGAGGNAG